UACGUAGGUGGCAAGCGUUGUCCGGAUUUACUGGGCGUAAAGAGCGCGCAGGCGGUCGUUCAAGUCGAGUGUGAAAGCCCCCGGCUCAACUGGGGAGGGUCACUCGAUACUGAUCGACUCGAAGGCAGAAGAGGGAAGCGGAAUUCCCGGUGUAGUGGUGAAAUGCGUAGAUAUCGGGAGGAACACCGGUGGCGAAGGCGGCAUCCUGGACCGGUAUUGACACUGAGGCGCGAAAGCGUGGGGAGCGAUCCGG
Molecule: ribosomal RNA, 253 nt
Filed under: uncultured bacterium
Lineage: Bacteria
Description: partial 16S ribosomal RNA
Rfam family: Bacterial small subunit ribosomal RNA
Source: RNAcentral